Molecule: ribosomal RNA, 107 nt
Filed under: Xenopus tropicalis (tropical clawed frog)
Lineage: Eukaryota; Metazoa; Chordata; Amphibia; Anura; Pipidae
Source: RNAcentral
GGUUUCUAAUCCACCACCCAGAAAGAGCCCAAUCUCAUCUGAUCUUGGAAGCCAAGUGGGGCUGGUUAGUACCUGGAUGGGAGACUGCCUGGGAAUGUGAGGAGUCA